This 253-nucleotide ribosomal RNA is filed under the name uncultured bacterium. Its description in RNAcentral is "partial 16S ribosomal RNA". It matches the Rfam family "Bacterial small subunit ribosomal RNA", at positions 524 to 776 of the family's 1533-position model. The record is from RNAcentral.
UACGUAGGGAGCAAGCGUUGUCCGGAAUCAUUGGGCGUAAAGCGCGCGUAGGCGGUCCCCUAAGUCGGGUGUGAAAGCCCUGGGCUCAACUCAGGAAGUGCAUUCGAAACUCCCGAGCUCGAGUUUCGGAGAGGAAGGCGGAAUUCUCGGUGUAGAGGUGAAAUUCGUAGAUAUCGAGAGGAACACCGGUGGCGAAGGCGGCCUUCUGGACGAUGACUGACGCUGAGACGCGAAAGCGUGGGGAGCAAACAGG